ACCAAGUGUUAAGCAGUGUAUUCUCAAGUAGCCUACUCCAUGUAUACUGAGGCAUAUGAGCUUCUUUCUUUUGUUGCAGGUGAGAUGCCUUGACAAAAGAGAUUUUUUUUAUCCUAAGGCAAUGCUGAGGCUGAAUGUGUUGCUGCAAACUGUUGCUCUUAAUUGUCAUAAGAACCAAACGCCCUAUGGUGUUGUUUUUCAUUCUUCGUGUGUCUGCAUGCAACUGAAAUUAACUCGGCUUAACAGAUCAACAAAACAAAGAGGAAAAACCACUCCUCGUACAGUCGCACAUUUCAUUCUCCAGUGCUACAGCUCGCCUCCUUCGCGGUGUUUUGUAUCUACAGGAAGGCAGCGAGUCCAGGAAACAACAUUUGAGACUCCGCCCAGUGACGCGGGCUUUUGUGGGCGUCGACUAAACUCCACUCGGACCAAUCGGGAUUCACGGUGAAACUUUGUAAACAACUCUUACACGCUGUUUUAAAGCUCCUCUGCUGUUUUUACUACGACGAGACGCGACGCCGCUGCAAGCAAAGUGACCCAAAAGUGGCCAAAAAAAAACACAGGUGAGACAGAGUUGUGUUUGUUCGCAGUUUAAAAAAAAAAAAAAAAAAAAAAAAGUUAUACGAAGUGCUCGCGUGCUACGUGUGUGUACGCGCGCGCCCUGCGUUUGUAUCGGCGUCCUCGUGACUCGUAGUAACAGCGGCGCUGGUGCAAAAACAGCUGUCAUGUAGAGUAAUGAUUAAAGAGGAAAACCGUGGAGUUUGGUGUUAGUCAGCGUGUGUGUUUGUUUAUAUGAAAUGAAAAAAUGAUUAUAACUUUAGAGGUUGCGUCAGUGUGCCGAGUGACGUCGCCACUAUAUUGUAAAAACGUUAAAUUCCUGUCACGGAGCCAGCUGGGGAGAAAAAUCUCUGCCAGACUUUUACUGCCUGGUUUGUUUGAAGUUUGGCUGAAAGAAUGAUUCGUCAUUUUAGGAGACGUGUUUAUGACAGUUUGUCAUUAAAUUACACUUUAAUUCAAUAAUAGUCUUUAAUGGUGGUGAUGUUCCCAGCUCAGUGGACAUGAGUGAGUCCUUAGUGCUUCCCCCCUGCGCCUGUCAACGUUAUUAUUAUUUUUUUUUUAAAAAGGAGAUGUAUUUAAAGGUAGAAAAUGGACUAUGGAGAGAACUUGGCGGUUUAAACUUAACAAGCCUGUGGUUGACUUUCUGAGUAAUUUAAGGGAGCAGGCUAAUGAUGGAGCAGAGUUCAUUGAAAAUCACCUGUGAUUAGAUAGCUCCGCAGAGUCAGUAUCAAGGAGUUGCUUUGUCCUGCUCUUAAGUGUGAGACAAGAAAAUGUGACAAUCCAUCACCAUAGCGGACGGCCAUCCAAAUGUUGAAAUCAAACUCCACUCACAAAAUAUAUACAAAGUCAAGAGGAAUGAUUGCAAAGCAGAAAAAAGCAGCACUGGAAAGUCUGUUGUGGUCCAACAUAGGACCUCAUGCUUGGGUCAGGCUCUGUCAUGGCCCACCUGAGUGACAUCAUGAACAUGGCUGAAAUGACCAGCGGAGAUCUGAGAUAACUUGUCCAAGUUAUUAAUGAAUGGGAUCCCAUCGUGCCCAGGUCUAGUCUCAGGAGCUGAUCUCAGAAGAGGAUACAGUGAGUGCCAGCUGUGCUCUGCUGCUGUACAGUGCACACUACUUCAGAGAAGUCAACCUCACUGCACUCCAUCCACCCCAUUGAACUGCCAGCUCUGGUGUCUGUAAGGCGGGGAUUUACAUUUUCUCAGGACAGGCAGCCCGUGGAGAGAGGCCUGCUGGCAGAUCAAAGGCUCCGGCUGUAAAACGAUCUGAAAGAGUCCGGCAUUAGCAUCCAUCAGGGUACCUUGAAAGCUCCCUGGUCAGCCGAGAGGGAAGCUGAGGGCCCCCCAAAGUGAAAGCCCAGUCUGGAGAGGGGUGAUGGGGGGCAGAGGGAGGGUAGAAUCGGGGUGGAGAGAGAGAGACACACGGAGAGAGAGAGAGAGAGAGAGAGAGAGAGUGGUGGAGGGAUGAAUAACAGGCUACUCGGCUAAAGACAUGAAGGAAAUAUUUCCACGAGGGAGGAAAAUUCCCAUAACAAGCUGCAAAUGUUUUUAUUUCUCUUUUGGUUUAAAAAAAAAAGCUCCUCCUUUAGCUCUUCCUCUCUCUUCCUCUAUCUUUUUAAUUUCUUUUUACAGCGUUGAGGCUGUAAGGGGAGAACAUCUCCAUCUGUGCACCAUCUCCAUUCAGCUCACCAAGCCCAGACUUUUACUACUCCACCCUGCAGUCUACACACAGGGUCAUGUCUGGUCGGGGAUGGGAAGUGGAGUGAAGAAGGGAGGGAGGAAAGGAGGGAAGGAAAGAGUGUGGGAGGAAGAGAAACCUGGUUUGGCUUCAUAUAUUGUAUCUCUUUACAUCAGAAUUAAAGUGGGAGAGAAGUAGGGAUGGCAGAAGUAUGGGGGCUGCAUGUGUGUGUUCCUUCUUUUAAGCAAUAAGCAUGAUUCACAGUCUUGAAAUGGAUAGGUACAUGUGUGAUAGGGAUCAAGAUUCGACCUGCAUUCCUGGUGUGUUCCGGUGCCUCCACAUUUGUGUCUUUUUCAAUAACAAAAGUAAAGCCACAUUCAUCACAUAACUCUAAAAAAUAAGUCAGGCUGAUCUUGUGAUAUAAUUCCCUCAAGAAAUAAGAUUUAUAGACACUGAGACCUGUGAACACUGAGCUCCUUUUUUCCUGGAAAGACUUUUAACUAUGCUAUGUGGUGAUAUUUUCAAAUGUCUGCAGUUUUCAAAUUCCCAAAUCUCCAGUAGAAUCAGAACCACUGCUGACUGUGACCCUUUCAGCACUGACUUCCUCUCAGCACCCUUACUGUAACACAAAGUCAAGUUGGGAAGGUUAGUCCAUGAAUGAUUGAUCUAUGAAUGAGACCAAAUUUUUGGAAGGUCAUGGUACAGCCUGUGUUUCUCCCAGCUGUACAGACUCCCAGCAUCAUUGAUUGGUCCUGGUCCAGUGUGAGUAUGUGUGAUGAAGAGGUCUC
Molecule: long non-coding RNA, 3022 nt
Organism: Larimichthys crocea (large yellow croaker)
Lineage: Eukaryota; Metazoa; Chordata; Actinopteri; Sciaenidae
Exons: 5
Source: RefSeq, a predicted model, not a curated record